GAAAUGCGAUAAGUAAUGUGAAUUGCAGAAUUCAGUGAAUCAUCGAAUCUUUGAACGCACAUUGCGCCCGCCAGCACUCUGGCGGGCAUGCCUGUCCGAGCGUCAUCUCCACCCUCGGGCCCCCCCCUCCCCGCGCGGCGCGCAAGCGCCCGGGGCGGGGGGCGGCCCGGCGUUGGGGGACGGCCCCGCGCCGCCCCCGAAAUCCAGUGGCGACCCCGCCCGCGGCACCCCCUGCGUAGUAGCAACUGCUCGCACCGGGCGCCCGGCGGCGGUCACUGCCGCGAAACACCCCCCACCAUCAAGUUGACCUCGGAUCAGGUAGGAGUACCCGCUGAACUUAA
RNAcentral lists this unclassified non-coding RNA (341 nucleotides) under uncultured Hirsutella. RNAcentral's name for it is "sequence contains ITS1". The stretch from base 1 to 105 matches the Rfam family "5.8S ribosomal RNA", at positions 50 to 154 of the family's 154-position model. The record is from RNAcentral. Lineage: Eukaryota; Fungi; Ascomycota; Sordariomycetes; Hypocreales; Ophiocordycipitaceae.